Triticum aestivum (bread wheat) is the source of this 5474-nucleotide long non-coding RNA. RefSeq lists it as uncharacterized. The transcript has 4 exons. NCBI's taxonomy places the organism in Eukaryota, Viridiplantae, Streptophyta, Magnoliopsida, Poales, Poaceae. The record is from RefSeq and is a predicted model, not a curated record.
GUUUAGGAUGUUCUCGUGGGGAUGGGUUUGGGAAGGCCGGGUUUCAUCCCGGUUGCCAUCUUGACUCCUGCCUCCUCCAUCUCUCUCCCCGCGUCACCAUGGGAGCCCCGCCGACGCCUGCCAUCCCUCCUCCCUCGUCUCCGUUCGAAGCCGAGGACCGGCUCACCCCACAGCUUUUCUCCACCUACGACCUAGGGUUGGGGAGGGAGGCCGGGUCUUCUCGGUGGGGUGGAGGAGCCGGGGAUGGCCGGGAGGCCGACGGUGGGGGGAGCAUCGAGGCCGGCGGAUGGAGCAGCGAGGCCCGAGCUCUAGGCGUCGUACACAUUGAUGGAUGGAGAAGAGGCCGGCGUGGGGCGCAAGGAGCAGCGGGGGGAGAACGGUGGGGCUUUCAUCUCCUCUCUUCUAAUCGCGACUCCUGUGACCUCGCCACCGGUGCUCGCUCGACUGGCGUAUGGGGCGGCGGCCGGGACGUUGGCCCUCGGCCGAACUCGAAGCCGAGUCUAGCUGACAAGACUCGUGGUAUACUGAUUCCUUGAUGCUCUGUUCAUGAAGCUAUGCAGGCCGGCGGUUAGUGUUGCAGCCUGCACACACGACAGGAGCAGCAGUCAGGUCCAUGGACAUUGCUUUGGGAGCAGCGGUCAAGCCACGGGGUACCAUCAAUUCAGAAAAUAACUUUCCUUCUUGUGAGAUAUCAAACAAUACAUUUCCUACAAAUCCGAGAUUCAGGCAGCCUUGUUGAUGUACGAAGAAUUGGUGCAUUUUGUCGGAAGAUGACGAACUAUUUCUUCACUCACAUGGCCAGGUACAUGCAAAUCUUUAUGUUUUUCAAGAUUGCUGGGUCUGUAGUCUGUACAUGGGCUACAUUCAUUUUCUCAUAUGUGUUUCUACUGGUUCGCAGCAGCUACCUAUUGGCCUUUUUUGACGUACCUUUAUUAACAUGUUAUCAGGUAUACGAUCACUUUUAGAGCAUGUUAUCACAUACCACAUGGUUUAGUGAGACAUACCAAUAUCAUUAUAAAUCUCUGGUUUACUAUCGAAUUCUUGAAUUUUUAUUUGAGAUCCUUUUGUUCAUCUCCUCCAAUUGUUGUCUGAAAAUAGUCUUGUUUUACCCACAUCAUUUCUAUAAACCAAGUAGCCUUUGGAGGAUGUAGCAAACCUUCAUGUCUGCAGCCUGUCAUCCUUGAACAAGACUAAUUGGAAAUUGUCUGAUAUUGAACUUUUGAAGUACGAAAUUUAUGCUUUCGUUACCUACUUAGCUAUGUUACACGCCAUUCAUUCAUUUGCUAUGUGAUCUUGAUCUGUGCUUUGCAUUCUUACUUGAUUGGUUAUUCCCAGAUUGAUCUCAAUGUUUUGAAUGCUCAAGUCAACCAUGAUACUUAAAAUCGUCUCUUAACUUAUUGCAUUCACUGCUGAAAUUUUCACACUCCCUGUCAUUAUUGUGUACAGUGAAUCUUGCAUCUUUUGAAUUGUUGAAACAAACUUAUGCGUAAUUAUGGGGCAUCCAAUGCAAGCCCCAGCCACGGGAUGUCAGUUCCGCACCGCUGCCAGCGACCGCCGUUCUGUUGCCUUGGAUUCGGGUGUGGCGUUGGCUGGGAACCGUAUGGUGUUUGUCUGACGCGCCGUCCGCAUCGUGGGGGUUUGGUCGGUUGACUCCAGGUAUGAGCAGCUCCUGAGCUUGAUGGCUGGAUGUAUCAUGGUCAUGUUGCUUGGUGUGCAGAGGCAACCUCAUUUUUGGACCAAAAAGAGGGGCGAUGACGAUGACGACUGGCUGAAACAAUCAUGUCUUGAGCAAUCAAGACAGCCUUGGCUUGUGGGACUAAACAGAGCUGAAAAAGUCGGUGUCACCGUUGGAGUUGCCCUUAGAGCCUACCCUAACCUCUGUUGUAGCCUGCUCAAUUUUAUUGCCGAUGUUGGAUGAUCUGUGCCUUGGACGGUUGUUCUGAUGAGUGAUACUCUGGGACUAGGUCUAUUUCAACACACUAACCCAUUGACCUCCCAUGUUCCUGGGGAGCGUUGCAUGUCGGAAAAGUUAGGGUUUGUGUCACACAAAGUUCUGCAUUGACACUUAGAAAGUAAGUGAAAAGUGAUAUGCCAUUUUUUGAGGCUAUCUACAAUCCCGUUAAAAGGCAACUGCUAAACACCGAAGGGCAAUGGAACUCAAUUUGUCGGUAUCGCAGUUUGAUAAAUUAUAUUAGUGGUAUUUCUUGGAUUUAUAUAAGAAAAACAAAAAUAGCUACCUUUGUGUGAAUUACAAUGCUAAUGAUCAAUUCUUUGUAUCAGACAUGAAUGGACAGAUUCAAGAUUUCCUUUCACCUAGGCUUGGUUAGUUGGCCACUUCAAUUCCCACUUCCUGUCAUGUAAUCUUGAUGUCGAUACUUUGACAUUACAUACAGAAUAUGAUGCAAUAUGUAGAAGUUACUAAUGGUCAAAAAUUUUCUGGAUACGACGCUUGCUUACUCCUAUUCACAUUAUGUAGAAGUUGCAUAAGGCAGAACAAGAAUAAGAACAUUUGUCAGUUUUUUCAUUUGCAGGUUCAGCAGCGGGCAAUGCUCAAGACAGAGUUGGGCGCACAUCAUAUAUAUACAUAUGUUGUCGUGUCUUAAUAAAUGGAGAUGAGCAGAAGUAGAGAUGAAAUAGGCUGUUCUGUUGCUUCUGUGACCGGCAAGUGUUCAUUGCAUGCCUGUGUGUCGUUGUGCUCUGAUUGGUUGUUUUUUGUGUAUUUUCGCAGGUUGCACGAGCUCUGCUGUAGCUGCGUCGUUCGACUCAUCAAGAUAUACCACGAAGGGAAGAUCUGCCUCACUGUGCACUUCAGGGGCGCAUACACUAGCGAUGGUACAGGAUUGGCUUCCUGGUGGAAUCAGGUGCGCGUCGUCCAUGGUGGCCUGUCGUGGGUGAAAAUAGUGUUGUCGGGUGAUAAUCAUUCUUGGCAGUGAUUCUUGUUGUGGAUGGGAUAUUGAUGCAGAUAUACCACGAAGGGAAGAUCUGCCUCACUGUGCACUUCAGGGGCGCAUACACUAGCGAUGGUACAGGAUUGGCUUCCUGGUGGAAUCAGGUGCGCGUCGUCCAUGGUGGCCUGUCGUGGGUGUUGGUGGGCGGCUGGAGGCGGCUGUAGCAGGUCGAUUUAUCUGACUACUGAAAAUGAGCUUCAGAAUAUCUGUAGAACGUAGCCCACUUCCAGCCAAAUAUCAAUUAUGAUAAUUCCACCAUGUACCAUGAUCAUUUGAACAGUCUUGCUUAAGUUUAUGUUAGCCCUGUAUGCUAAUUUGAGGAGAUUGUUAACUUUAAGGUGCGAACAUUUAUAAAAUGAUAAUUGUACCGUUCUUUGGGAUUUUGUGAUUCCUAUGGAAUUAAGAGGUCAUCUAUUGCCCUAUCCCUAUUUGUAAUUUCAAAUAGUUAUUUUUGGGUGCACUUCUGUUUUAGAAAUGAAUCAGUAACCAAUUAUGCUUGAUGUUUCAAGCAGAACUAGAAUUGGUAAACAACUAUCUGUGAAGCAUAUAUGGAGGCGGGAGUCUGGUUUGUUUUUUUGCUAUGUGCCUAUUUGCUUAAGAAAAUACUUGACUAGAGAGCAGAUUCCAAAUGGAGCUGCAUUUUCAUGCGUCAGGUCUAUUUUUUAUUUGCAAUGUUGCACCCUCUUUUCAUUUCUUGUGAAUAUUUUUUUUGUUUGAUCAGUACUGCACCUGGUUAUCUACAGAGGAAGGCAAGGAUAACUAGAUUAAACAUUUCACAAGACCCUCCCAAUUACAGGCACAAACUCCUUUCAAGAUAUUACAAGUGUGGUUGAUUAUGGGAGAUUGUCAGAUGAAAAGAAGGUAUAUCCUUUAUAUUUAUCUAGAUGUUUAAUUAGCUGCACAACCAUACGUGAUUCUAUAAGGAAACUAUUUAUCCUGAUGAUCUUGAUAUCCAGUCAUGUAUUACAGUAUUAGUAUAGGCUGUAAUUUUUGGCUAGGAAUCUAUAUAUACAGAACCUAAACUGAAGACUCAAUAUAGCACAUAUACUUGGCCAGUUAUCCUAAGAAUAUUAAUCCACCUGGACUUUUAACUUGACUUCCAAAGAAGUUCUUAACGAUCAAGCAUUUUUGAGUUUUUAGUAAAUUGAAAUAAUGUUGCACUUUGACAAUACUAUUCUGAUUUUGCAAGUUAAUAGAAAUCCUUCAAUUUCAUAUCACUAUUUUAAUCGCAUAUUUGGAUGAUUGCGACAUUAUCUCUUCUCGGAAUUCCGCUUGCAUGUUUCCAGUUGAGACAAUAACUGAGUUUGAUAAGUAACCACUAUAUUAUUUUCUAUGUGUACACAUGUUGUCGCUCUGCUUGAGUCAUCCAUCUCCACAUUACGAGCCCGAGACUUCCAUCACAACAAUCUAUAUGUAUCCAGGUAGUGUCCAAUAUGUACACACAGGCUCCUCUCACAGGUCGACUAAGCUGAUUGUAACUGAAUGUGUGUGUGUGGCCGUGAAGCAGACUUUAUCUUGGUCUGAGUAUCAGUUCCCUUCAAUGGUACAAUUUUGGAUACUAUUUUCUUCUAGAUGUAUAGGUUUCUGCUGGUCCCAUUGGCUGCUACAUUUUAGUGAUACGAUAGCUCAAUGUCAUGCUCACCAAUUGUUCUGUAAAAAUGAAAAAUCGACUUGACUGUAUUUUGUACCUGUUUUAGUAAUUACAUGAUGUGAUUAGUUUCAUUCUAGAUAUGGAAAUAUUCUAAGGGUUAAGCUUUUUGAGACGUUAAGGUAUCUGAUGAUUAAUUAGCCUUUGUAAGAUUUAUGCACUCAUGUCAUACAACCUAGAUAAUUCUCCUUGGAUCUCCAUAAUUUCUAAUUGAAUAUAGAUGUAUACUGACAGUAAAUCCCGUUUUAGUAAUUAGUUGGAUAUAAGUGAUAAUUCUUUGACAUGUUUUUAUGAAAUGUCUGCUUAAAUCAGCGUUAGAUGCUCCCAUAAUCGAUUACUUUUUGGAUAUGAAUUAUUACUAUAAGAAGUAUAUUGGUUCUCCGGUGUUUUCAGUUCUUACAAUAAACAAAUUAUAUUGUUUUCCACUAAUCAUUUCUCAUGUAGUUUUACUCUGCAGUAUGUAUCUUUUGCUUCAUAACUCAUCUGUUCACAAGAUUGAUGCCUAGAAAUUUCAGCCUUCCGUGCUAAAUGCCGUCUGCUCAUUUGUAACGGCAUAGAGAUAGGAACGAGCAAUUCAUCUUAAGUUUGAGAAAGUGGCGGACAAAAGAGAACUGGACUAUUGUUGCUGAGCGCUAGCUCUGGCCGCACGAUCAUCUAUAUAUAUAGUUUUCAACAGUAAAUGCAUCCUGAUUGGUAUAGCACAAAUGGAAAUCUUACUUUCUUCUAAACUCUUAAUUUCAAGAUGAACUGGAGAGGGGAAUUUGUACUAAGUUUGGAAUCUAUCACAGUAAGUGUGUAUUUGCGGUAUUGAUGUACAGUUAUUAAGAAAGUUACAUUUUUCAGCUAUUGUGCUACUGAGAAGGAAGCAUGGCUGAGAA